RNAcentral lists this ribosomal RNA (1945 nucleotides) under Francisella tularensis. Its description in RNAcentral is "partial 23S ribosomal RNA". It matches the Rfam family "Bacterial large subunit ribosomal RNA", at positions 1 to 1978 of the family's 2925-position model. The record is from RNAcentral. Lineage: Bacteria; Pseudomonadati; Pseudomonadota; Gammaproteobacteria; Thiotrichales; Francisellaceae.
UUAAGAAAAUAAGUGCAAGCGGUGGAUGCCUUGGCAUUCAGAGGCGAUGAAGGACGUGAUAAUCUGCGAUAAGCUUCGGUUAGCUGGUAAAUGAGCUAUGACCCGGAGAUUUCCGAAUGGGGGAACCCACCUGACACAAGUUGGGUACUCACUCGAUAUAGAGUGUAGAGCGAACGAGGGGAACUGAAACAUCUAAGUACCCUUAGGAAGAGAAAUCAAUUGAGAUUCCCGUAGUAGUGGCGAGCGAAGUGGGAAGAGCCUGGUAUGAUUUAGCUGUAAUUAUAGUAGAACAAGUUGGGAAGCUUGACGAUAGAGGGUGAUAGUCCCGUAUACGAAAUAAUCACAGUGGAACUAAGCAUACGAACAAGUAGGACGGGGCACGUGGAACCUUGUCUGAAUAUGGGGGGACCAUCCUCCAAGGCUAAAUACUCCUGAAUGACCGAUAGUGAACUAGUACCGUGAGGGAAAGGUGAAAAGAACCCUUAUAAAGGGAGUGAAAUAGAAUCUGAAACCGCUUGCAUACAAGCAGUAGGAGCAUGAUUUAGUCAUGUGACUGCGUACCUUUUGUAUAAUGGGUCAGCGAGUUAUUUUUAGUGGCGAGGAUAACUGAAUAAGGGAUCCGUAGCGAAAGCGAGUUUUAAUAGGGCGACUAGUCGCUAGGAGUAGACCCGAAACCGGCGCGAUCUAUCCAUGGCCAGGUUGAAGAUUAGGUAGUACUAAUUGGAGGACCGAACCCAAUACUGUUGCAAAAGUAUGGGAUGAGCUGUGGAUCGGAGUGAAAGGCUAAUCAAGCACGGAGAUAGCUGGUUCUCCCCGAAAACUAUUUAGGUAGUGCCUCGUGUAUAACUCAUUGGGGUAAAGCACUGUUUCGACAAUGGGGGUUUUACGACCUUACUGACUCGAUGCAAACUCAGAAUACGAUGAAGUUCGAUCACGGGAGACACACUGCGGGUGCUAAGGUCCGCAGUGGAAAGGGAAACAGCCCAGACCGCCAACUAAGGUCCCAAAGUCAUAGCUAAGUGGGAAACGAAGUGGGAAGGCCCAGACAGCCAGGAGGUUGGCUUAGAAGCAGCCACCCUUUAAAGAAAGCGUAAUAGCUCACUGGUCGAGUCGGCCUGCACGUAAGAUUUAACGGGGCUAAGCUAUGCACUGAAGUUGCGGAAUAUAUUUAGUAUAUUGGUAGGGGAGCGUUCUGUAAGCCGAUGAAGGUGAAUUGAGAAGUUUGCUGGAGGUAUCAGAAGUGCGAAUGCUGACAUGAGUAACGUAAAAUAAGUGAGAUUCUUAUUGGCCGAAAACCCAAGGGUUCCUACGCAAUGUUAAUCAACGUAGGGUAAGCCGGCCCCUAAGGCGUAGCUGAAGAGUGAAGUCGAUGGGAAACAGGUUAAUAUUCCUGUGCUGCUUAUAUGAACGAAGGAGGGACGGAGAAGGUUAGGUAGGCCUGGCGAAUGGUUGUCCAGGUGAAAGUAUGUAGGUAGGAAUGCUAGGCAAAUCCGGUGUUCUGUUGAUCUGAGAUACGAGACGAAGUUAAACUUGUUUGACGAAGCUAUUGAUACCAUGCUUCCAGGAAAAGCUUCUAAGUAUAUUGUAUAAGUGACCGUACUGUAAACCGACACUGGUGGGUAGGUAGAGAAUACUAAGGCUAUGAGAUAACUCUGGUGAAGGAACUAGGCAAAAUGACACCGUAACUUUGGAAGAAGGUGUGCCCUUGAUGGUGAUGAGACUUGCUCUUUGAGCUGUUGGGGGUUGCAGAUACCAGGUGGCUGCGACUGUUUAUCAAAAACACAGCACUCUGCGAAAUCGUAAGAUGAAGUAUAGGGUGUGACGCCUGCCCGGUGCUGGAAGGUUAAUUGAAGGGGUUAGCGCAAGCGAAGCUCUGGAUCGAAGCCCCAGUAAACGGCGGCCGUAACUAUAACGGUCCUAAGGUAGCGAAAUUCCUUGUCGGGUA